GAUGGGACAAACAAUUUCCCCAAAAACACAAAGUUUUGGUCCUAAACUUGCCGAUGUUUUUUAUCAAAAUUAUACAUGCAAGCAUCCGCACACCAGUGAGAAUGCCCUACAAAGUACAAAGGAGCAGGUAUCAGGCACAACCAGUUAGCCCAAAACACCUUGCUAUGCCACACCCACACGGGCACCCAGCAGUAAUAAAUAUUAAGCAAUGAGUGAGCAACCAACACAAGCUCGACUUAGUUAUGAACAAAAGGGCCGGUCAACCUCGUGCCAGCCACCGCGGUUAUACGAGGGGCCCAAAACAUCGGACACCGGCGUAAAUUAUGGCUAGAGAAAACCACUUACAUUAAAGGAAAGUAAAAACAAGCCCAACCGUAAAACCUGGGCCAAAAGAAGCCCACUAUUCCAAACUGUAAAGUUACUUGAACCCAUGAAGACUAAGAAACAAACUAGGAUUAGAUACCCUACUAUGCUUAGUUGUUAACACGACAUUAAACAACACUAACAUGUCCGCCAGAGGAUUACACGCGAAAAGCUUAAAACUCAAAGGACUUGGCGGUGCUCCGUAUUCGCCUUAGAGGAGCCUGUCCUAUAAUCGAUACUCCACGCUUUACCUCACCAUCUUUUGUUAUAACAGCCUAUAUACCGCCGUCGCAAACUUACCC
This 665-nucleotide ribosomal RNA is filed under the name Liolaemus ramirezae. RNAcentral's name for it is "partial 12S ribosomal RNA". It matches the Rfam family "Bacterial small subunit ribosomal RNA", at positions 92 to 1019 of the family's 1533-position model. Lineage: Eukaryota; Metazoa; Chordata; Lepidosauria; Squamata. The record is from RNAcentral.